Pelobates cultripes (western spadefoot toad) is the source of this 219-nucleotide non-coding RNA. NCBI's taxonomy places the organism in Eukaryota, Metazoa, Chordata, Amphibia, Anura, Pelobatidae. The record is from the annotation of a GenBank genome assembly.
GUGAGUGAGUGUGUGUCUGUCAUUUUAUGUGUAUCUGAGAGUGUGUGUCUGUCAGUGAGUGGGUGGGUGUGUCAGUGUCUUUUGAUUAAACAGUGUGUGUGCCAAUGACUCUAUGUGUGUGCCAAUGACUGUGUAUCUGCAAUUGAGUGUAUGUCAGUGCAUGUGUCAAUGAGGGCCUGUGUCUGUCAGUCAAAAAAGUGGCCUUGACACGAAUUGGGG